Molecule: non-coding RNA, 478 nt
Organism: Biomphalaria pfeifferi
Lineage: Eukaryota; Metazoa; Mollusca; Gastropoda; Planorbidae
Source: the annotation of a GenBank genome assembly
AUAGAAUAAAACUGUUUUAAAUCACGUUGUCAGAGAAAUCUGGCAAAAAAGGAAAUAAACAUUUUAAAUGCAAAUAUCAUGUUUCCUUCAGUUGUUACGAACUUCAUUUACAAAGAUCAUAAAAAAAAUGAACGUACAAAAAACAAAUAUGAAAUGUCAUCAUGAUUUGUAAGUAUUUUACAGUACGGACCAUGCGUGAGGGGAUCACAAAGUGGAAUUCAACAUUCAAUGCAGCUUGAGUAUUAAGGACAUACGUGAAAGACAUAGAACACAGUUUAAUAUAAACUGCUGCCCUGCAUAAUAAAAAAUAUCUUAUAAUUUAUAAUCUCACAUAAAUCUUAGUGUCUCAAACCAAACACACACUAAUUCGUAUUGAGUUACUUUCUCAAUGCACAGAAAACUUCUGGUUUACACAUCUCGAGUUCUCAGACUUUUCUUUUCUCUCUCUCUCUCUCUCUCUCUCUCUCUCUCUCUUUCU